Molecule: long non-coding RNA, 579 nt
Organism: Mastomys coucha (southern multimammate mouse)
Lineage: Eukaryota; Metazoa; Chordata; Mammalia; Rodentia; Muridae
Exons: 4
Source: RefSeq, a predicted model, not a curated record
UGCAAGUGCUGCCCUACUUGGAACACGAAGGACUGUUAUGUAGAUACGGAUAUCUUCUUAAUGUACCAAAACCCCAUAGCCCACUGUCCACCUCUCCCUCCCACACUUUAGUUUGGUUGGAGCAGAAGAGUCUGAAAUUUACUAUCAAACAAGCUCGGGCUUAGAGUUUUAUGAUGGGCAGCUUCUAUGUGGAAAGAAAAACAAGACAGUGAAUGAGCAAAGAACAAGGCAGGAUAACUGCCAGAGGAGGCUGGCUCGGAGCAAAAGGAAACUUCUCAGACAGUGGAGUUUCAUUGUUGAUCUCUUCCACUAACUGAUCAAAACCCAGCCUGACUUGCCGGGAAGAAAGCCAGAAUUUUACGGCAGAUGAACCUUUGACUUCAGCAACCUGAUCUACAGGUCUUCCUCUGCUGACGACCCACUCCUGUGUAUCCUACGGCAAGAAGUGUGGUGAUGGCUUCUCCUUAGAACACUGUUCACCUCAUGCUGCUAGAGAGAGGUCAAACUUCUGGAGAGCUAAGUAAUUACCUGGCAUCAGUGAGAAAUCAGAGAUCAAAUAAAGCAGUAUUCAAAAAAUAG